Molecule: long non-coding RNA, 3388 nt
Organism: Macaca mulatta (Rhesus monkey)
Lineage: Eukaryota; Metazoa; Chordata; Mammalia; Primates; Cercopithecidae
Source: Ensembl
CCCCUCAUCAGGGACAAGGAGGAGGAAGCCAGCACCUCCUGUCUGCUCGCUGACCCCCAGCCUGGCCCUGCAGACUCUCCCUCCCAUGUCUAGGCAGUUGGAGAAGAAGCAAUUUGGUGCAUGUGAAUUAUUCAGAGCAGUCAAAGUGAAAGGAAGGACUGAGGCAACCCGUCUAGAAACAGCCAGUAAAGAGAUCCCAGCUCGAAACCACUCGUAAGGUUGAUCUCGAAAACAAAUUAGCGACAGGUUUCUGGAGAAUCCCGUGCUCUUCUGCAGGCUUUUCGAUUACUGGCCUGCUGAUGUUCACCUCUGGCAACCCCGCUUCAUCACUGACUCCAGGGAGCAAAGGUCCUUGGGACUCGCUCAUGGUCCUGUCCCAGCCACACGUCCGGCCGACUCAGCACAAGUGCACAGUAACUCCCUGUGGAGGUCAGGAAGUUGCAUCUGUAAUGAUCUCACAGGAGCACCUCCUACGUGCCCCGACACUAGCCACAGCCCGUGCUCCAGACCCCAAGCCAUGGGAAUGCCCGAGCCAGGGCUCUCCACCACCCUGCUCAGGCCCUGCCGCGAGGCGCAUCGCAUGCCUGGUUGGGACUGUGCACAUCCCUUUAUUGGAAAAUUAUCCCAAAUAUGGUGCUGCUGGUUUGGGGCCAUCUCCAAAGACAUCGCACGUUUAGCCUUAGCUGCGAAGGUUCAUGUUCACCCCUAGACAGGGCACUUCCUGCGGAAAAAGUGGGGGCAGAGCAAUUGUGCAGAUAACAGGCAAACCAGGCAAAGACUUUGGGAGUCUAGAAUUUUCCCCUGCAGGCAAGGCGGGGUGUGGGCAUGGGGCCUGGGGCCGGGCAGCACCGGACAUCAAGGCGUCUCAGAGAACGAGAUGCACCAUCAUGAUGGGGAGAAUCUUUCCUGGCUUCUUGUCAUCACACAAGCGUGAGAGGUGCCGCAGGGAUCCAGGCAUCUCCAUCUGUGAACCUCCAGGGUCUCUGCAGAAGAGGAAGGCUCCACCCACACUUCCUUGGCUAGAGUCAGUCAUGUGGCCACAGCCUAGUGCAAGGGAGGCUGGGAGGUGUGGUUUCGGGAUACCGGGGAAGCAGGAAAUGAGAAGAGAAAGGGACCCCUUUCUGACAUUAUUAAAAUAACAAAUGCAUCUCUGCAUACCUCUCGGGCCACAUCUGGGAAAGGCUGACUUUGCAGAGAGGCCAGCAUGCAGUGCUGGGUGACCUUGGGCAGGUGACUUACCCACUCUGAGCUCAAGUCUUUGCCACGCAUGUGGAGAGGCUCACUGGCGUUUCUGAGCUGGGAAGAUUCAAAGCACAGCCCGCCCAGCACCUGGCCCAGGGCAGAGCCUACUGUGAGCUCAUUCUGCCCCUACCCCUGCACACCGUGUUACAGACACCAAGGGCAUGGCCCUGUCAAGUGCCCUUUCUUAAUUCCUUUAUAAAAGGAGAGGGCUGGCUGCGUGACUGUUUCCAACCCAACACCCGUAAAGCAGAUAAACGGGCAGACACGAGUGACUUUCUUAAGGACACAGCCAGCUUGUCGUGGGCCCUGUCUGGGGUGAUGGCAUCCCUGCGGGCCACAGGCCGUGGGCCCCAUCGCCUUCAAGCCUGCAAGCUGGCUGCCACAGCUCACCCACUGCGGGGGCACACUGAGGGGCUUCAGGUCCCUCAUCCAGGACACAGGGAGGACAGGGACGGCCAGGGAGGGUUCCAGGUGGGGAGAGGCCACACUACUGUUUUUCGGAAGACAGGUCCAGGCUGAUGACAGGUCCGGACUGAUGGGGAGCAGCCGUGAAGCAGGCUGUUUGCAUCGUCACUGUAGUCUCCACUCUGGAAAACCAAAAUCCGGUGACUCGCUGAAUUCAAACCCAGGAAGGCUGAGCUAGAGCCAGAACUGGGGUCUCCCCUCUGGGCCAAGUCUGACCGAGAAGCUGGGAGGCCUGCGGCUGGUGCCCAGCCGUUCACUUGGUGGUUGGGGGCUCUCAGCAGCAGCCAGGCCAGGCUCCCACCUCUGUUUCUGCCGAAAAAUAGCAAACACGAUUCCUCAGACCAGAAAGAGGUGGAGACAGGGGUGCGGCUCAGACCAGGACCGGGGCCCUGACAGAGGAUCCCAAGCAGAGAGCAGGGCAGUGGUGCCAGGGAGGCAGGCCGGCUAGCCACACCUCUGAUACAGGCCGCAGAGCUCGGCUGCUCUCGCCUUUGGGAAGGCCUCCACCACGGCUUUGGCAGUGCUGACACUGAAACCUGUCGCUGUUUCUGAGCAUCUGGACGUAUGAUUUAGCGCUUAUUGAUGGCAGGAGAAGCAGGGAGCGACCAUGUAUGUUAACACAUAAUCUAUUCCACACCCAUAUUUCUGUUCUGCAGUCAGUGACGAUGGGGAGACUCACUCCCUCUUAUCAGGCAGUGGCACCUUCAAGACAUCGGCCCCGCCUUGGAGCUGAGCCCAGGUGGGCUUUAUUCAAGAACCUCCCCGACCCCCGUGCUGUUCGCAGGCUGAGCUGAAGCUAGGAUGAUAGGAUUCAGCCGGGUCAGCACUGGCAGAAACACCUGUGACUGUGGCAGACAGAAAAAUGCCACAUCCUCUUCCCCAGAACCUGUGAAUGUUCCUAUCUAAAGAGGCUUUGCAGUUGAGCCAAAGUGAAGGAUUUCAUGGAAAGGGGAGAUGAUUCUGGAUCAUCUGCACAGGCCCUAUGGAAGCUCAAGGGUCCUUAUAAAAGGGAGUUAGGAGGCUCAGAGUCAGAGGGAAGACAUGAGGACCGGCCUGGGAGUUGGAGGCGAGAAGAUGCUGCCAACCUUAAAGAGAGGGAGGAAAUGAGGGGAGGGAGCCCUUGGCCUCUGACCUCUGCCUCCAGGUAAGUUAGUCAGAGACCCCUGCCAUCCACAGAAGACAAGAGGCAGCCCCAUGGGCUCCAGCUGCUCUUUGGUGAAGCCCAGCAGGGAUAAGAGAGGCAGUGUCCUGGACACCCUGGAGAACCCACACCUUUUAGGCUUGAGCCUAGGGGUGGAUCCACAGCGUGCUGGUGACCUUGGUUGUUAACUUCCAGCCACGGGGAUGGAGGCUCCCCUGGGAGCAGGGAGGGAGGAAGGAACAAGAGGGAGGGACCUGAGGCCAUCUGUGACCCUGCUCUAGGGGGGAGCCCACAGGAGCAAGGUCUGUGGACAGGGACCCGCCCUGGCCCUGUGGGGGGCCCUAGAGCUGCCAGAAAUCACCCCAAAAUCCCUUUUCUAACCCCAUGAGCUAAUUUCCCGAAGGAUUUGGCUAAAAGACGCCUGGGGGGUUGUGACAAAUUUAGACCUCGCACGAAAGUGCUGAGUCACGCUUUGCCUGUUUGGAAAACAGGAAGCUAAUUAAGUUACUGUUGGAGGCAGAGGCUGCAGCAGGAGGAGGC